Molecule: ribosomal RNA, 484 nt
Filed under: uncultured bacterium
Lineage: Bacteria
Description: partial 16S ribosomal RNA
Rfam family: Bacterial small subunit ribosomal RNA
Source: RNAcentral
AUUGAACGCUGGCGGCAGGCCUAACACAUGCAAGUCGAGCGGAUGAAGGGAGCUUGCUCCUGGAUUCAGCGGCGGACGGGUGAGUAAUGCCUAGGAAUCUGCCUGGUAGUGGGGGAUAACGUCCGGAAACGGGCGCUAAUACCGCAUACGUCCUGAGGGAGAAAGUGGGGGAUCUUCGGACCUCACGCUAUCAGAUGAGCCUAGGUCGGAUUAGCUAGUUGGUGGGGUAAAGGCCUACCAAGGCGACGAUCCGUAACUGGUCUGAGAGGAUGAUCAGUCACACUAGAACUGAGACACGGUCCAGACUCCUACGGGAAGCAGCAGUGGGGAAUAUUGGACAAUGGGCGAAAGCCUGAUCCAGCCAUGCCGCGUGUGUGAAGAAGGUCUUCGGAUUGUAAAGCACUUUAAGUGGGGAGGAAGGGCAGUAAGUUAAUACCUUGCUGUUUUGACGUUACCAACAGAAUAAGCACCGGCUAACUUCGUG